CCUACGGGUGGCAGCAGUAGGGAAUAUUGCUCAAUGGGGGAAACCCUGAAGCAGCAACGCCGCGUGGAGGAUGAAGGUUUUCGGAUUGUAAACUUCUUUUGAUAGAGAAGAAAAUGACGGUAUCUAACGAAUAAGCACCGGCUAACUCCGUGCCAGCAGCCGCGGUAAGACGGAGGGUGCAAGCGUUACUCGGAAGCACUGGGCGUAAAGAGCGCGUAGACGGGAUAGCAAGUCAGAUGUGAAAUCCUAUGGCUUAACCAUAGAACUGCAUUUGAUACUGUUAGUCUAGAGUAUGGGUGAGGUAGGUGGAAUUCUUGGUGUAGCGGUGAAAUCCUUAGAGAUCAAGAGGAAUACUCAUUGCGAAGGCGACCUGCUAGAACAUAACUGACGCUGAUGCGCGAAAGCGUGGGGAGCAAACAGGAUUAGAUACCCGGGUAGUC
RNAcentral lists this ribosomal RNA (440 nucleotides) under uncultured bacterium. Its description in RNAcentral is "partial 16S ribosomal RNA". It matches the Rfam family "Bacterial small subunit ribosomal RNA", at positions 338 to 795 of the family's 1533-position model. The record is from RNAcentral.